This 1436-nucleotide ribosomal RNA is filed under the name uncultured bacterium. Its description in RNAcentral is "bacterial SSU rRNA". It matches the Rfam family "Bacterial small subunit ribosomal RNA". The record is from RNAcentral.
AGAGUUUGAUCCUGGCUCAGAACGUACGCUGGCGGCACGCCUAAUACAUGCAAGUCGAACGAAGUAGCAAUACUUAGUGGCAGACGGGUGAGUAACAUGUAGGUAUCUACCCUUUGGCCUGGAAUAACACGGGGAAACUUGUGCUAAUACUGGAUAAGCCUUUACAGGGAAAGCUUUAGCGCCGAAAGAUGAGCCUGCACUUGAUUAGCUAGUUGGUAAGGUAAUGGCUUACCAAGGCUACGAUCAAUAGCUGAUCUGAGAGGAUGAUCAGCCACAUUGGGACUGAGACACGGCCCAAACUCCUACGGGAGGCAGCAGUGGGGAAUCUUGCACAAUGGGGGAAACCCUGAUGCAGCGAUGCCGCGUGAGUGAAGAAGGCCUUUGGGUUGUAAAGCUCUUUCGUCGGGGAAGAAAAUGACUGUACCCGAAUAAGAAGGUCCGGCUAACUUCGUGCCAGCAGCCGCGGUAAUACGAAGGGACCUAGCGUAGUUCGGAAUUACUGGGCUUAAAGAGCUCGUAGGUGGUUAGAAAAGUUGAUGGUGAAAUCCCAAGGCUUAACCUUGGAACUGCCAUCAAAACUUUUUAACUAGAGUAUGAUAGAGGAAAGUGGAAUUUCUAGUGUAGAGGUGAAAUUCGUAGAUAUUAGAAAGAACACCAAUUGCGAAGGCAACUUUCUGGAUCAUUACUGACACUGAGGAGCGAAAGCAUGGGUAGCGAAGAGGAUUAGAUACCCUCGUAGUCCAUGCCGUAAACGAUGUGUGCUAGACGUUGGAAAUUUAUUUUUCAGUGUCGCAGCAAAAGCGUUAAGCACACCGCCUGGGGAGUACGACCGCAAGGUUAAAACUCAAAUGAAUUGACGGGGACCCGCACAAGUAGUGGAGCAUGUGGUUUAAUUCGAAGAUACGCGCAGAACCUUACCAACACUUGACAUGUUCGUCGCGACUCUAAGAGAUUAGAGUCUUCGGUUCGGCCGGACGAAACACAGGUGCUGCAUGGCUGUCGUCAGCUCGUGUCGUGAGAUGUUGGGUUAAGUCCCGCAACGAGCGCAACCCCUAUUUUUAGUUGCUACCAUUUAGUUGGGCACUCUAAAAAAACUGCCAGUGAUAAGCUGGAGGAAGGUGGGGAUGACGUCAAGUCCUCAUGGCCCUUACGUGUUGGGCUACACACGUGCUACAAUGGCAUUUACAGUGAGAAGCGAAGAGGUGACUCUAAGCCAAUCCCUAAAAAAUGCCUCAGUUCGGAUUGUACUCUGCAACUCGAGUACAUGAAGCUGGAAUUACUAGUAAUCGCGGAUCAGCGCGCCGCGGUGAAUACGUUCCCGGGUCUUGUACACACCGCCCGUCACACCAUGGAAGUUGGUUACACCUUAAGGCAAAGCUUAAAACCUUUGACUACGGUACGAUCAGCGACUGGGGUGAAGUCGUAACAAGGUAACC